RNAcentral lists this ribosomal RNA (228 nucleotides) under uncultured bacterium. RNAcentral's name for it is "partial 16S ribosomal RNA". It matches the Rfam family "Bacterial small subunit ribosomal RNA", at positions 568 to 795 of the family's 1533-position model. The record is from RNAcentral.
UGCGUAGGCGGAAAAUUAAGUCAGUGAUGAAAUCCUGCAGCUUAACUGUAGAACUGUUAUUGAUACUGAUUUUCUUGAAUUCAGUUGAGGUAGGCGGAAUGUGUAAUGUAGCGGUGAAAUGCUUAGAUAUUACACAGAACACCGAUUGCGAAGGCAGCUUACUAAGCUGAUAUUGACGCUGAGGCACGAAAGCGUGGGGAGCGAACAGGAUUAGAUACCCUGGUAGUC